RNAcentral lists this ribosomal RNA (253 nucleotides) under uncultured bacterium. RNAcentral's name for it is "partial 16S ribosomal RNA". It matches the Rfam family "Bacterial small subunit ribosomal RNA", at positions 524 to 776 of the family's 1533-position model. The record is from RNAcentral.
AACGUAGGGGACAAGCGUUAUCCGGAUUUACUGGGCGUAAAGCGCCCGUAGGCGGCCUGACAAGUUGGACGUGAAAGCUCCUGGCUUAACUGGGAGAGGCCGUUCAAAACUGUCAAGCUAGAGUCUGGAAGAGGAGAGCGGAAUUCCCGGUGUAGUGGUGGAAUGCGUAGAUAUGUGGAGGAACACCGAUGGCGAAGGCAGCCCCCUGGGUUAACACUGACGCUCAUGCACGAAAGCGUGGGGAGCAAACAGG